Molecule: long non-coding RNA, 505 nt
Organism: Xiphophorus couchianus (Monterrey platyfish)
Lineage: Eukaryota; Metazoa; Chordata; Actinopteri; Cyprinodontiformes; Poeciliidae
Exons: 2
Source: RefSeq, a predicted model, not a curated record
AAGUUAAGACUUGAGUUAAAAUGUUGUUUUAACUUGAGUUGAGUUAAAACUCUAGUUAGAACGUUAGGUUUUAACAUUUUAACUCAACAACCUCUAACUAACUAGAGAUCACUGGGUCUUAAAAGACGGAGUCUCUGAGAAUAGUUCUUAAAAAUAUAACCAGUAUUUUCAGCAAAGUUGAGCUGACUGUCCAGAAAGGACACAAGGAAUUUAAAAUUAGCCACAGUUUCAAAAGGUUGGUCAUCAAGUGAAACUGGAAUCACUUUCAGGUUUUGUUUAUGUCAUUUAAUUAGCUCUACUUACUAAAGGAAUGAAAAGGUAUGUUCUUUUGUAAAGGAGUUUAUUUUUAAACUUCCAGUAAUGCCAUAAUUACUAAUAAAGACUUUGUGGUAUUCUGAUUUAGCAAUGUAAUUAUAUUAGCUGUGUUACCACCUCCACGCCACUAGAGGCAGUAUCAGGCCCAAAAAGAUGCGACUAAGAAGCCAAUAUAGAAGUUCACAGAAAG